This 444-nucleotide ribosomal RNA is filed under the name uncultured bacterium. RNAcentral describes it as "SSU rRNA". It matches the Rfam family "Bacterial small subunit ribosomal RNA", at positions 26 to 518 of the family's 1533-position model. The record is from RNAcentral.
AGAACGAACGCUGGCGGCACGCCUAACACAUGCAAGUCGAGCGCCCAGCAAUGGGAGCGGCGGACGGGUGAGUAACACGUGGGAAUAUGCCUUUCGGUACGGAACAACUCAGGGAAACUUGAGCUAAUGCCGUAUACGCCCUUACGGGGAAAGAUUUAUCGCCGAAAGAUUAGCCCGCGUCUGAUUAGCUAGUUGGUGAGGUAAUGGUUCACCAAGGCUUCGAUCAGUAGCUGGUUUGAGAGAACGACCAGCCACACUGGGACUGAGACACGGCCCAGACUCCUACGGGAGGCAGCAGUGGGGAAUCUUGGACAAUGGGGGAAACCCUGAUCCAGCGAUGCCGCGUGAGUGAUGAAGGCCUUCGGGUUGUAAAACUCUUUCGACGGGGACGAUAAUGACGGUACCCGUAGAAGAAGCUCCGGCUAACUUCGCGCCAGCAGCCGC